Molecule: long non-coding RNA, 1208 nt
Organism: Ctenopharyngodon idella (grass carp)
Lineage: Eukaryota; Metazoa; Chordata; Actinopteri; Cypriniformes; Xenocyprididae
Exons: 3
Source: RefSeq, a predicted model, not a curated record
AGCUCUUUUCAUAUGAGCUGCAUCAAAUUCUCAAGAUGUCCAAUUACAUCUGCUGCUGUUCUGCCCUUUAACUCAACAACUGACCAUCUUCACACUCUCCGUUACUCUCUGACUCCUGGAGUUUUUCUCUUUCUGCCUUUCUUUCUCUGUCUUCUGCUGAAUUGAUUCAUUUUUUGAUUUUGAUUUUCUGUGAAUUGCUACAGUAUAACAACAAAUAUAGCCAAUAUGCAUGUAGACGAUGAUGUGCCUGUGUAGCCUACAUUAUCUGCAAUUUUUAAAAAAGGCCUUACAUUAUAGCACCAGAUCUUGUCAGCAGUUUUGAGAAAGGCAGUUCUAUACAUUACAAUAAUAAUAAUUAUAGUUAUAAUAAAGAACUGAAGGACAAACUAAGUGUUAACUAGUAAAAAGUACAAUCUACUGUAGGAACACAAACGCCUUAUUUUUUAUUUUAUGUGUAAAUGUAAGAGACAUCAUUUAUAUUCAAUUGUGCUAAUCCCUUUACAGUAACAUGCACUGAUAAAAAAUUAAAUUAUUUGCUUUACAUGUGGAAUUUUAAACCUAAAUUUAACGACAAACAAGAAAUAUUCAGUAAAAUUAAUAAAUUACUCAGAAUUAUAGCGCAUAAUUUAUCUUAACGCUCCGUCUGUUUGACGCGCAUGCGCGCUCUGGCACUCGUUUAGUCAGUGAAGUUUGGCGGAGAUUCGCUUGCUAUUAGGACGAAUUUGGAAAUACUCAUGUGAAUUUAUAACAUUUACAAACAAGGAUAUAAACAUUAAAUGUAAGUUAUGCGCUAAGUGCGUUGGGGAAAACAUGUCUCACUCAUUAAACGGGAAACAUAUCUGACAGAGCACCUGACAGGGCAGUGACAUCUCUUCUCUUCUCUGAUGGCUGGCAUGAGGGCGGGACAACCUGUCACUCACAUGACAUCACAGCAAUAGCAAACCACAACCAUCCAAUCAAUUCACAAUGGGAAAAAAAAAUCAAGUCGAACUUCACAAUAGGGAACUUCCAUUCCAUGCUGACUUUACCAGUCAUGAAAUAAACAACAUGUCAGAAAAGUGACUCUGACAGAUCAGCAAGAUGAAUUUUGACUGUGACUGUGAAAACAGCAGAUCAUAUGUUCCUGCUACUCCCGUAAAUGUGUUUUACCUGAUGGCAGAUCUCGUGCACCACCACCAUGGUGAGCUCCAUCUGAUAGGAGAAGGAGG